UGGACAUCCGCAACGCGUCGGACUGGGUCGAGUGUGUGUGUGUUCAGGCUUCUAGCUUUCUGAUCACUCUCUUCUCCCUCCUGGCGUCCUGGCGGUAGAAUGAACAUCCUCCCCGAGUCACUGGCUGUCUUCAAACGAAGGCUGAACACUCACCUUGUCGCUGACUCACUAAGCACUUAAAAAAACAUUUAGUCUUCUGUUCCAUUCCAGCCAGGCGUUGAGCCUGACGGUGUUCUCGGCACAGUGGUAUCCAUUGUCGCAUGAGGAUAUGUAUUUGAUUGAGACUACAAAGCACUUCUGUAAGUCACUCUGGAGGAGGGCAAAAGGAAACAAAUGCUGUAAUUGUACAGCACGUCGAAACAUAAAAUUCCAACUAAACAUCCGAGUGAUGUGAGAAAAGGAUCACAGGAUUAAAAACAGUAAACAAAGAAGGAAUGCUACUCCAUGCACUCAUGAAGUGCAGGGAUCGACUGGAGAUUAGAUGACAGGAUUCCAGCAGAGAGAAGAAAUGAAGGCUCUGGUGUUGACUUUGUGCUUCACGUUGUGCGCGCUCCCGUCCGGGGUCUGCAUCCAUGCAUGGGGAUAAAAUUCCACGCGUGACCCUGGAGGAGUCCUGGAGGAACGCUGUUAUUCAGCCUCCACCCGCCCGUGCCACCUCUCCCAGUAUCCCCAUUUCCCGAAGACCUUCACUCAUCUCUCCCCACCCAUUUGCGGCUUUCUGCUGCCGCCACCCUCCUCAUCCUCCUCCUCCUCCUCCUCCUCCUCCUCCUCCUAUCACACUUGGUGUGGUCAUGGGUGGAGGAGAAGGGGAGCCAGAGAGAGGUGAAGCAAUAACAGGCCCCGUGGUGUCUCCGUGGGAGCCCCCUGUUUGUCUUUCACUCUCCCGGUCAUCUGCGGGGCUGUGGAUUGAGUGAAGAACUUCGGUUCCCGGUGUGCUGUACUUUUAAGCGGUAAAGUAACUGGCGGCACUAGAGUCCUGACGACACCUCUGUGAUGCGCUGAUGACAUCUGCGUCAUGGAAUCCUGACACCUCUGUCAUGCGGUGGCGAGCCAAACGAGGCUGGACAGCGUGGCAUCUGUCAUAUGCCGGAGACAUUAAACCCAGCCUGGGACGGCCCAAGCACGGGAUGGUACGGUUCGAACAAGGCUGAGUGGCGGGUAAACCGAAUGGAGAAAGCCUCCAUCUUCCUGUUCAGUGCAUUCAUAUGUUUCCAAUAGCACGUAGAUGAUUGGAGGUCGACGUAUACUCAGUGGCUCGCAUUCCCGCAUAUUUAUCGGAUAUCACGCACCGGUAACCCAGUAUCUACGAUGCCAUGAUCGCCACGGAGAUCUCAACCGUCCGAAUGGUCACGGUAGGUUACCUAGCAUCCCGGAGGCACGUUCCGAAAGCGGAACUGAUUUGAGGGAAAGGCUGACCGUCAGGUGUUUCCUCCUGGCCUGGGGUGGGGGGCCUGUGUCAGUCAGUGACGCUGAUCCAGUGACAGUCACUCUGCAGGCACAAUCAGUGGCACUGACAGAAUAUGAUCCCCCCCCCCCCCCUCGAGGAAAGAGAGAGAGGGGAAGGAUAGUGUUCUCCUAUCAAUGAGACCCGUGCUCUCGUCCGCCAUGGGCUAAAUUGAUUCCUGACCUUUAACCCCUGACCUGACCUAGAGCCAGGAACAGAUAUUUCAGCAGGCAUGUGCUGAGAUGUACACUAUGUAGCAGCACGUCUGGGAGCAUGAGUGACCCAUAAUACACCCCAGCAUCGUUGCCCAUAUAGGAAUGCUGCAUGCAUCACCAACUGGAAGCAUCCGUGUGCACUGGUAAGCAGCUCUUAUCCAACACGGCAUGCGGACAUGCCUCCUUGUCAAACGUAUGGCCGUGUAAAAUUGGAGCUGUGCGCUACUGCGGUUGCCAUGGCAUGCAAAAGCCAGUUGUUGCAAUGGCGUUUUGUUUUGCAAAAAUGAAAACAAGCCAACCGCAGGCUCACAGAAACUGUUUACGAGAGUCACGUAUAGGUGCUGCACUUAGGCCAAGAGGCCAGUAGGGGGUUGUCCAGAGUGCCUGACCUGGGGUGAAGCAGACCAAACCAAGUCAACCCCUGUACCUCCGCAACAAAGAACUGGUCCGAGAUCAGCAAAAUAUAACAAAAUAAGUGUAACUAGGAGUGUGGUUACAUGGUGACGGGUCAGAUGAGUGAUUGAAUCCUCCCAAUAGAACCUUGUUCCUUAUUCGCGCAUGCUUUAUGUAUGCGUGAACGUGCUUGUAUGAUUGUACUAAAAUAUGAUUAGAAUGCUUCUAUGAACUAUUGGUGACGCCCAGCAUAAAUUAACUGCAUUAUAUUGUGUCCUGAAUACAAUUCAGAGUUCAGGUCAUUUUAUCUAGGAGGUAGAAAUCAGUUUGAAUUACCGACUGACCAUGGCGUGCAUUACUGGCUUACACACACAAACAGAGUAAUGGAUAGUCAUAGCAAAACGAAAAAUGGAUCAGUAUCAUUGAAGAGUAUGCAAUGUCAAUAAUACUUGCCGCUCCAGCAAUAUUGACAUUCUCACAUUUAUACUUAUCGCCGUAGUGUGCGUAUUCGCGCGCUCGUGUUUUGCAAGGGUGUGUUCGCGCUCCCCGCCACCGAGCCACAGCAAUAACAAUAAUAAAACCCUUAACAAAGGCUCCAGUGUGACAGGCUGAAACCUGCUCCGUGGCCUUCUCCCAACCGCUGCGCGC
Molecule: non-coding RNA, 2700 nt
Organism: Electrophorus electricus (electric eel)
Lineage: Eukaryota; Metazoa; Chordata; Actinopteri; Gymnotiformes; Gymnotidae
Source: RefSeq, a predicted model, not a curated record